GUGCUCGCUUCAGCAGCACAUAUACUAAAAGUUGGAAUGAUACAGAGAAGAUUAGCAUGGCCCCUAUGCAAGGAUGACAUGCAAAAUCAUGAAGCGUUCCGUAUUUUU
This 108-nucleotide small nuclear RNA is filed under the name Bos grunniens (domestic yak). The record is from RNAcentral. Lineage: Eukaryota; Metazoa; Chordata; Mammalia; Artiodactyla; Bovidae.